CCCACAUAACUAUUAAUUUUUAAAAGAAGUUUAUAAGAUAAAGAACAAAGUAUAGCACCCAAAUAUUCAGGAAAAGAAAACUCAUCAUAGAUCUCUUCUCCUGCUCAUUUACAAUGACUUCUCCAACACAGCUAGAUUCAUUGCACUCUUUACUUGUUGCUUCUAUUUCUAUAUAAGCACUGUGCAUUACUCACUCAAUAAUCAUCAUCCGGCAACUUAUUUCCAACUCUUGGAUAUAAGAAAGACCUUUGAUUAUAUUGAACAAAUAUAGCUACCACAAACAGAGACAAAAUCAGCAAUUUUUCAGCAUCAGAGACAUAAUUAAACUAAUAACCCCGUGUACAUGAAGAGAAUCCAUAACCACAGUCUGAACCAGAAUAAUUAAAACAGGUCAAAAGAAACAUCAGGAGCUGGAAAUGUUCCUACAGUUGUGUAUCAGCCGGUCAUUUACUCACUACAGAAGAGCAUUUCAACAUCUUAUGUCAUUGUGUUGCUAAUUAAGGCCAAAUCUAUCGAAAAUAUAACAAAAAGAUUUCAUCUUGCAAAACAAAAUAGAAGAUCUGUGAGAAAUUAGGAUGAUGAAAUCGCAGCAAACAGAUCCGUAAAAUCCCAAUCAAAACACAAAACAGAUCAAGCAUAAACUCAAGGAGGCAAAUAAGAAAACAAACCUGAGCAGCUUUGUAGGGAUAACUUCCUUUGAAUUAUGUUCAGCACCCGUCUUGAACUCGGCCAAAUAUCAGGGAUAACUCCUUUGAAUUUUUCGGGUUUAAAACACUAAUUAGAAUCACCAGAAAAAAAUAAGGAAAUAAGAGAUUUCUAACAUAUAAUCAUACCUUUAGACCACUUAAAUUUCAGCAAACCAACCAAUAUUAAGCUGUUAGAAAUAGGUGAAGAAAGUAAGCACUGGGAUUCAGAAAAAAAAGGAUAUGUGAGAAUUUGAAGUAAUUUCCUAAAGACAACUUGGAGGCCGCUACUAGAAAGAAGAAU
Molecule: long non-coding RNA, 987 nt
Filed under: Nicotiana tabacum (common tobacco)
Lineage: Eukaryota; Viridiplantae; Streptophyta; Magnoliopsida; Solanales; Solanaceae
Description: long non-coding RNA (NTAB_LNC007202)
Source: RNAcentral